This is a long non-coding RNA of Anguilla rostrata (American eel), 821 nucleotides long. RefSeq lists it as uncharacterized. Lineage: Eukaryota; Metazoa; Chordata; Actinopteri; Anguilliformes; Anguillidae. The record is from RefSeq and is a predicted model, not a curated record. The transcript has 2 exons.
CGUAUGUAUGUAUCACACAAGCGUGUGUAUUUAUCACACAAGCCGUGUGUAUACUGCACUUGCUCACAUGCAGCAGGCCAGACGCUCCACCUCCUUUGGGACCAAAACGCACGAAAGCACACAGAAACAGGAACGCACAAACGCACAGUUUGGAGUUAGCAGUGUGAGGCCUGAGGUCUGACCCACAGGACCGCAGCUCAGCUGGAACGGCCCUUCCUCGUCUGUGUGACGGGUCGGUGGAUCCAGUUCGAAUGCAGCUCUGUGCUCCAGCGGUUCCCGCCUGUGGUCUUCCCCCCACGUUCCACGCGUAUCACACUUACCCAGCUUUACCACAGGAGGGCUGUGUCUGUCUCUCCGCUGUGGUAUUGACGCCUCCUUCUAAACGAUUGCUAAAUUGUAGGACUGGUACUACCUCGCAGGAUAUUGCACAAAGCUUCACAAAACAGAAGUUCAGCACAGUUUUCAAGUGCGUUUGGCCUCUUUAUGCCUAAAUGAUUCAAAUAAAUCAUCUGCCCUGGAUUAGACAGGUCUGGCUGAGCUACCCUGGAUUUUGAUAAAAUAAAUCCCCUGGGCUUGAUUAGUCAGGUCUGGCUGAGUUACCCUAGGUUUUGAUAAAUCAUCUGGGCUGGAUUAGUCAGGUCUGGCUGAGUUACCCUCGGUUUAGUCCUUUCAUAGAUAAGGGCGUUGGAAGAGAAUUUGUACUAAAGAAAUGAAAGUGAAAGUAGAAUUAAUUUCAGCUCAUUUACUGACAUAUUCGUAUUUCUGUUCACGCACAUUUGUACCUUUCAUUCAAAUAAUAAACACCUCAGUUAUUUUCGGGA